Non-coding RNA from Pelobates cultripes (western spadefoot toad), 237 nucleotides. The record is from the annotation of a GenBank genome assembly. Lineage: Eukaryota; Metazoa; Chordata; Amphibia; Anura; Pelobatidae.
ACUCCCUUGAGCUUUAAUCACUUAGCUCUUCUAAGAGCUGUUCCUGAUACCCUCUCCUGGAGGAGAGGUCUUCCCCACACAGUCCUGGAUGUCAGAGGUUCAUACAGGGUGGAAGGAAGAGGUCUUUCAAACACGGUCCUGGAAGACAGAAGCUGAUCCAGGGUGGAAGGAAGACGGCGAGACUACCAGUUAAGCUACGGCGGUUGUGGAGUCUGUGGUGGUUGUGGUGUCCGGUGC